AGGGUCGGUUGUGGUAAUACUAUGAAAGUUAGAUGCCAAUCACCAUAUAAAGAAGAAAAAACCUGGAAGGAGGAGAGACGACUAGAAACUAUUUGGUUGUCCGUUUUAUGUGUGGAUUAAUUGGUGGAGUAGAGGACCUUGUCCAUUUCAGAGACAGAGGAAGUUGAUGAGGACGAGUCCCUGCUGCAGUCCCCUGGUUGAUUCCCCCUCGCUGCUGGAGUCUCCGCCUGAUUCGAGCAUGUAGCCUACUGCUGGUUGCUGCUGCUUCUUGGCUGGGGGAACGAAGAGGUUCUGGAGCCGGCUGUAAAGGCCCUCCGUAGGAACCCCUGGGUCCCUACUCGGCUCUUCAACAUGGGCAUCUUCACUGGACAGGGAGAGGGAGAUUAGCUUGGGACAUUCGUUUGGCAUGUAAAACUAGACAACAGUAGAAAACACAAACUAUCAUCAUGGAACGACAAAUAUAUAAUAGAAAAAGACAUCCACCAUACACUCUUUGAAAAAAGGGCUCCAAAAGGGUUCUUUGGCUGUCCACAUAGGAUAACCUUUUUUGGUUCCAGAUAGAA
This is a long non-coding RNA of Oncorhynchus tshawytscha (Chinook salmon), 563 nucleotides long. RefSeq lists it as uncharacterized. Lineage: Eukaryota; Metazoa; Chordata; Actinopteri; Salmoniformes; Salmonidae. The record is from RefSeq and is a predicted model, not a curated record. The transcript has 3 exons.